UACGGGAGGCAGCAGUGGGGAAUAUUGGACAAUGGGCGAAAGCCUGAUCCAGCCAUGCCGCAUGAGUGAAGAAGGCCUUCGGGUUGUAAAGCUCUUUUAGUGAGAAAGAUAAUGACGGUACUCACAGAAGAAGUCCUGGCUAACUCCGUGCCAGCAGCCGCGGUAAUACGGAGAGGGCUAGCGUUAUUCGGAAUUAUUGGGCGUAAAGAGCGCGUAGGCUGAUUAGUAAGUUAAAAGUGAAAUCCCAAAGCUUAACUUUGGAAUUGCUUUUUAAAACUGCUAGUCUAGAGAUUUGAAAGAGGAUAGAGGAAUUCCUAGUGUAGAGGUGAAAUUCGUAAAUAUUAGGAGGAACACCAGUGGCGAAGGCGUCUAUCUGGUUCAAAUCUGACGCUGAGGCGCGAAGGGCGUGGGGAGCGAAACAGGGAUUAGAUACCCGU
RNAcentral lists this ribosomal RNA (437 nucleotides) under uncultured bacterium. Its description in RNAcentral is "bacterial SSU rRNA". It matches the Rfam family "Bacterial small subunit ribosomal RNA", at positions 340 to 789 of the family's 1533-position model. The record is from RNAcentral.